Molecule: ribosomal RNA, 681 nt
Filed under: uncultured eukaryote
Lineage: Eukaryota
Description: SSU rRNA
Rfam family: Eukaryotic small subunit ribosomal RNA
Source: RNAcentral
UUUGAUGGUAGUGUAUUGGACUACCAUGGCAGUCACGGGUAACGGAGAAUUAGGGUUCGGUUCCGGAGAGGGAGCCUGAGAAACGGCUACCACAUCUAAGGAUGGCAGCAGGCGCGUAAAUUACCCAAUCCUGAUUCAGGGAGGUAGUGACAAGAAAUAACAACCUGGGAGCCUUUGGCUCUACGGGAUUGCAAUGAGAACAAUUUAGAUCACUUAGCGAGGAACCAUUGGAGGGCAAGUCUGGUGCCAGCAGCCGCGGUAAUUCCAGCUCCAAUAGCGUAUAUUAAAGUUGUUGCAGUUAAAAAGCUCGUAGUUGAAUGUCUGGUUGUCGGGGGUUUCGGCUUCGGUCGUGCAACCGGCGGUCAUCCGCAUACGAAAUUAGUUCGGCCUUUACUGGUUCGGCUGAGGGAGUGUGCAUUUUACUUUGAAAAAAUUAGAGUGUUUCAGGCAGGCAAUUGUUUGAAUACAUUAGCAUGGAAUAAUGGAAUAUGACCAUGGUCAAUUUUGUUGGUUAUUUGACUUUGGUAAUGAUUAACAGGAACAGUUGGGGGCAUUAGUAUUUAAUUGUCAGAGGUGAAAUUCUUGGAUUUAUUAAAGACUAACCUAUGCGAAAGCAUUUGCCAAGGAUGUUUUCAUUAAUCAAGAACGAAAGUUAGGGGAUCAAAGACGAUCAGAUACCGU